RNAcentral lists this ribosomal RNA (345 nucleotides) under Paramblopusa borealis. RNAcentral's name for it is "partial 12S ribosomal RNA". The record is from RNAcentral. Lineage: Eukaryota; Metazoa; Arthropoda; Insecta; Coleoptera; Staphylinidae.
GUAAAUUCAUUAUUAUUAAAUUAUUAUAAGUUAUAGUCUUUAAAAUUAAAAAAUUUGGCGGUAUUUUAGUCUUUUCAGAGGAACCUGUUCUAUAAUUGAUAAUCCACGAUUAGAAUUACUUAUUUUAAUAAUUUGUAUAUCGUUGUAAUUGAAUAUUUUAAGAGAAUAUUAAAUGUUCAAAAUUUUUAAAUAAAAAAUAAAUCAAAUCAAGGUGCAGUUUAUAAAUGAGAAGAAAUGGGUUACAAUAAAUAUAUUUUUGGUUUUUUAAUUUAAAUAUUAAGGAUAAAUUGGAUUUGAAAGUAAUUUAAUUAAUUUAAAUUAAAUGAUUUUAGCUCUAAAAUAUGC